RNAcentral lists this ribosomal RNA (426 nucleotides) under uncultured bacterium. RNAcentral describes it as "bacterial SSU rRNA". It matches the Rfam family "Bacterial small subunit ribosomal RNA", at positions 354 to 796 of the family's 1533-position model. The record is from RNAcentral.
GUAGGGAAUAUUGCCCAAUGGGCGAAAGCCUGAGGCAGCAACGCCGCGUGUGCGAUGAAGGCCUUCGGGUCGUAAAGCACUUUUUGAGGAGACGAGGAAGGACGGUAUCCUCAGAAUAAGGAUCGGCUAACUACGUGCCAGCAGCCGCGGUAACACGUAGGAUCCGAGCGUUAUCCGAAUUCACUGGGCGUAAAGCGCAUGCAGGCGGUUCGAUAAGUUGGAUGUGAAAUCUCCUGGCUCAACUGGGAGAGGGCGUUCAAUACUGUUGGACUAGAGUACGGUAGAGGGAGGUGGAAUUCCCGGUGUAGUAGUGAAAUGCGUAGAUAUCGGGAGGAACACCAGAGGCGAAGGCGACCUCCUGGACCGUUACUGACGCUCAGAUGCGAAAGCUAGGGGAGCGAACGGGAUUAGAUACCCCAGUAGUCC